This 438-nucleotide long non-coding RNA is filed under the name Medicago truncatula (barrel medic). Its description in RNAcentral is "lncRNA gene36173". The record is from RNAcentral. Lineage: Eukaryota; Viridiplantae; Streptophyta; Magnoliopsida; Fabales; Fabaceae.
UUUUGGCAUAUUCCUACUUGGACUGGUUGGACUGUUUAGUCCUAGAUGUUAAAGAAGACGGUCAUGGUGGCUAUGGAGUCUUAUAAUGUGACGUUGAAGUACAGAGAGGUAGAAGAGGAUGAAAAGCUAAAAUCUAAGCAAACAAAUAAAAAAUAAUUAUAGUGUAUAAAGUUGAACCGAUAACAAGUAAAAGGAAUUAGAAAGUGGAUGACAUAUCAAUUUAUUAUUGGAGUGUGUUAGAGGAUGUGUCACCGGCAUUUCUCUUCUUAAUAAUGCCAACAUAUUGUAGUAGCAAGCACAAAUAAACAACUCUUACAAAUAUAUAGGAGUUGGAAUCAUUCUCACUUUAAGUGCAACAAAAAUUAAAAUCAUACACAUCCAAACAUAAUCAUUGUCAUUGAUCCUCAAUGGUAGUCCAUCCUAGAGUUUGUCAAGACG